This is a non-coding RNA of Rattus norvegicus (Norway rat), 85 nucleotides long. The record is from Rfam. NCBI's taxonomy places the organism in Eukaryota, Metazoa, Chordata, Mammalia, Rodentia, Muridae.
GGGGAUUUAGCUCAGUGGUAGAGCACUUGCCUAGCAAGCGAAAGGCCUAGCCAGCGAAAGGCCCUGGGUUCGGUCCCCAGCUCCG